This is a long non-coding RNA of Micropterus dolomieu (smallmouth bass), 1013 nucleotides long. RefSeq lists it as uncharacterized. Lineage: Eukaryota; Metazoa; Chordata; Actinopteri; Centrarchiformes; Centrarchidae. The record is from RefSeq and is a predicted model, not a curated record. The transcript is spliced from 3 exons.
GAACCACUACUGGUGUCCAUCUGCACACCGGAUUUAAAAUGUGGCUUCGCUGUGACCCGUCUGUUGUCCGAGGCCUCUAGAGACGGGGGAAGGAGAGAGCGCCGUGCCAGGAAACACUCACUCACUCGGACAGCCUCCGUCCUCCACAAACAUGUGCAGUGUUCCACCAGAUUGAACCUGGCUGGAUUUGCUCCCAUUCAGCCACAAGAGCAUUAAUGAAAUGGAAAAGGGGACGCAGAGGCCUCAGCAGUGAUGUUGAGUUGUUUACAGUGACUGCAUCAUCCAUCAGGCAACAGGUCUCGGCUUGGCUUGAGUUCCCAGAGUGCACAGAUGCUUAAUGGCAUGACAGGUUGUGUCCAGGCUCUCAGACUACAUCCAAAACACCGCUAGCUGCUAGACGGAAACACCACACAGCCUCAGGACACCCGGCGGACUCAGCAUUCAGAGCAGCUCAUCACGCCAGCUGAGGCUGCAGCUUCAGGCUCUGCUUGCUGGUAAAAAAAGUGGUUUGAAGAGCUGAAUUACACCACAGUGCGCAGCCUCGAAAUGACUACAAAAUCUGGAAACAGGAUGAUUCAUAGAUGAGGGGAAUCCAACAUUUGAUUGUGAAGGAUGGCAGAAGUAUGAUUGUUUUAGAUGAUGAUGAUGAUGAUGAUGUCCACUGGGGUUUUAUGUUAUGCUGUGCCAUAUUAUGUGAGCUCAUCUAGUUUUAGUUUAGAAGUUCACUAAUGAGUGUGCACAUGUAUGUCUACAUGUUUUGUUUCAUGUUUUAUGUUUAAGUCUGUGUUCGGUGUUUUACCUGCCUGUGAGACAAUUUUCCCUUUGAUGACGAUAAAGUUAAAGAAGAAAAUUGCUGCACUUUGUGUUUUAGGCAAAAAAAAAGAAAACUGUUGAUUUGCAUUCAGUAAAGAUUGUGGUCAUGGUCAAAAGAAACAAAUGCAUUUUGAGAUUAUCAGCAUGCAAACAUCAUUUCAUUAAUUGACAAAAAAUCCAUCUAAAACAACAAAUUAUUG